GGAUAACCUACCCUUAGGACUGGGAUAACCCUGGGAAACUGGGGAUAAUACCGGAUAGGCAAUUUUUCCUGGAAUGGUUUUUUGUUUAAAUGUUUUUUCGCCUAGGGAUGGGUCUGCGGCCGAUUAGGUAGUUGGUUAGGUAACGGCUUACCAAGCCAUUGAUCGGUACGGGUUGUGAGAGCAAGAGCCCGGAGAUGGAACCUGAGACAAGGUUCCAGGCCCUACGGGGUGCAGCAGGCGCGAAACCUCCGCAAUGUGAGAAAUCGCGACGGGGGGAUCCCAAGUGCCAUUCUUAACGGGAUGGCUUUUCAUUAGUGUAAAGAGCUUUUGGAAUAAGGGCUGGGCAAGACCGGUGCCAGCCGCCGCGGUAACACCGGCAGCUCUAGUGGUAGCAGUUUUUAUUGGGCCUAAAGCGUCCGUAGCCGGUUUAAUAAGUCUCUGGUGAAAUCCUGUAGCUUAACUGUGGGAAUUGCUGGAGAUACUAUUAGACUUGAGACCGGGAGAGGUUAGAGGUACUCCCAGGGUAGAGGUGAAAUUCUGUAAUCCUGGGAGGACCGCCUGUUGCGAAGGCGUCUAACUGGAACGGUUCUGACGGUGAGGGACGAAAGUUAGGGGCGCGAACCGGAUUAGAUACCCGGGUAGUCCUAACUGUAAACGAUGCGGACUUGGUGUUGGGGUGGCUUUGAGCUGCUCCAGUGCCGAAGGGAAGCUGUUAAGUCCGCCGCCUGGGAAGUACGGUCGCAAGACUGAAACUUAA
RNAcentral lists this ribosomal RNA (757 nucleotides) under uncultured archaeon. Its description in RNAcentral is "bacterial SSU rRNA". It matches the Rfam family "Archaeal small subunit ribosomal RNA", at positions 102 to 859 of the family's 1478-position model. The record is from RNAcentral.